GGGUUGUGAGGUUAAGCGACUAAGCGUACACGGUGGAUGCCCUGGCAGUCAGAGGCGAUGAAGGACGUGCUAAUCUGCGAAAAGCGUCGGUAAGGUGAUAUGAACCGUUAUAACCGGCGAUGUCCGAAUGGGGAAACCCAGUGCAAUUCGUUGCACUAUCGUUAACUGAAUACAUAGGUUAACGAGGCGAACCGGGGGAACUGAAACAUCUAAGUACCCCGAGGAAAAGAAAUCAACCGAGAUUCCCCCAGUAGCGGCGAGCGAACGGGGAGCAGCCCAGAGUCUGAAUCAGCUUGUGUGUUAGUGGAACGGUCUGGAAAGUCCGACGGUACAGGGUGAUAGUCCCGUACACCAAAAUGCACAGGCUGUGAACUCGAAGAGUAGGGCGGGACACGUGGUAUCCUGUCUGAAUAUGGGGGGACCAUCCUCCAAGGCUAAAUACUCCUGACUGACCGAUAGUGAACCAGUACCGUGAGGGAAAGGCGAAAAGAACCCCGGCGAGGGGAGUGAAAAAGAACCUGAAACCGUGUACGUACAAGCAGUGGGAGCACCUUCGGGUGUGACUGCGUACCUUUUGUAUAAUGGGUCAGCGACUUAUAUUCUGUAGCAAGGUUAACCGUAUAGGGGAGCCGCAGGGAAACCGAGUCUUAACUGGGCGUUAAGUUGCAGGGUAUAGACCCGAAACCCGGUGAUCUAGCCAUGGGCAGGUUGAAGGUUGGGUAACACUAACUGGAGGACCGAACCGACUAAUGUUGAAAAAUUAGCGGAUGACUUGUGGCUGGGGGUGAAAGGCCAAUCAAACCGGGAGAUAGCUGGUUCUCCCCGAAAGCUAUUUAGGUAGCGCCUCGUGAACUCAUCUUCGGGGGUAGAGCACUGUUUCGGCUAGGGGGUCAUCCCGACUUACCAACCCGAUGCAAACUACGAAUACCGAAGAAUGUUAUCACGGGAGACACACGGCGGGUGCUAACGUCCGUCGUGAAGAGGGAAACAACCCAGACCGCCAGCUAAGGUCCCAAAGUCAUGGUUAAGUGGGAAACGAUGUGGGAAGGCACAGACAGCCAGGAUGUUGGCUUAGAAGCAGCCAUCAUUUAAAGAAAGCGUAAUAGCUCACUGGUCGAGUCGGCCUGCGCGGAAGAUGUAACGGGGCUAAACCAUGCACCGAAGCUGCGGCAGCGACACUAUGUGUUGUUGGGUAGGGGAGCGUUCUGUAAGCCUGCGAAGGUGACCUGUGAGGGUUGCUGGAGGUAUCAGAAGUGCGAAUGCUGACAUAAGUAACGAUAAAGCGGGUGAAAAGCCCGCUCGCCGGAAGACCAAGGGUUCCUGUCCAACGUUAAUCGGGGCAGGGUGAGUCGACCCCUAAGGCGAGGCCGAAAGGCGUAGUCGAUGGGAAACAGGUUAAUAUUCCUGUACUUGGUGUUACUGCGAAGGGGGGACGGAGAAGGCUAUGUUAGCCGGGCGACGGUUGUCCCGGUUUAAGCAUGUAGGCUGGUUAUCCAGGCAAAUCCGGAUAAUCAAGGCUGAGGUGUGAUGACGAGGCACUACGGUGCUGAAGUAACAAAUGCCCUGCUUCCAGGAAAAGCCUCUAAGCAUCAGGUAACAUUAAAUCGUACCCCAAACCGACACAGGUGGUCAGGUAGAGAAUACCAAGGCGCUUGAGAGAACUCGGGUGAAGGAACUAGGCAAAAUGGUGCCGUAACUUCGGGAGAAGGCACGCUGGUGUGUAGGUGAAGUCCCUGCGGAUGGAGCUGAGACCAGUCGAAGAUACCAGCUGGCUGCAACUGUUUAUUAAAAACACAGCACUGUGCAAACACGAAAGUGGACGUAUACGGUGUGACGCCUGCCCGGUGCCGGAAGGUUAAUUGAUGGGGUUAUCCGUAAGGAGAAGCUCUUGAUCGAAGCCCCGGUAAACGGCGGCCGUAACUAUAACGGUCCUAAGGUAGCGAAAUUCCUUGUCGGGUAAGUUCCGACCUGCACGAAUGGCGUAAUGAUGGCCAGGCUGUCUCCACCCGAGACUCAGUGAAAUUGAACUCGCUGUGAAGAUGCAGUGUACCCGCGGCAAGACGGAAAGACCCCGUGAACCUUUACUAUAGCUUGACACUGAACAUUGAGCCUUGAUGUGUAGGAUAGGUGGGAGGCUUUGAAGCGUGGACGCCAGUCUGCGUGGAGCCAACCUUGAAAUACCACCCUUUAAUGUUUGAUGUUCUAACGUUGGCCCCUGACCGGGGUUGCGGACAGUGUCUGGUGGGUAGUUUGACUGGGGCGGUCUCCUCCCAAAGCGUAACGGAGGAGCACGAAGGUUAGCUAAUCCUGGUCGGACAUCAGGAGGUUAGUGCAAUGGCAUAAGCUAGCUUGACUGCGAGCGUGACGGCGCGAGCAGGUGCGAAAGCAGGUCAUAGUGAUCCGGUGGUUCUGAAUGGAAGGGCCAUCGCUCAACGGAUAAAAGGUACUCCGGGGAUAACAGGCUGAUACCGCCCAAGAGUUCAUAUCGACGGCGGUGUUUGGCACCUCGAUGUCGGCUCAUCACAUCCUGGGGCUGAAGUAGGUCCCAAGGGUAUGGCUGUUCGCCAUUUAAAGUGGUACGCGAGCUGGGUUUAGAACGUCGUGAGACAGUUCGGUCCCUAUCUGCCGUGGGCGCUGGAGAAUUGAGGGGGGCUGCUCCUAGUACGAGAGGACCGGAGUGGACGCAUCACUGGUGUUCGGGUUGUCAUGCCAAUGGCACUGCCCGGUAGCUAAAUGCGGAAGAGAUAAGUGCUGAAAGCAUCUAAGCACGAAACUUGCCCCGAGAUGAGUUCUCCCUGAGACUUUAAGUCUCCUGAAGGAACGUU
This 2825-nucleotide ribosomal RNA is filed under the name Klebsiella pneumoniae subsp. pneumoniae. RNAcentral describes it as "bacterial LSU rRNA". It matches the Rfam family "Bacterial large subunit ribosomal RNA". The record is from RNAcentral. Lineage: Bacteria; Pseudomonadati; Pseudomonadota; Gammaproteobacteria; Enterobacterales; Enterobacteriaceae.